CAAAGAGUGAUUGUUGUAUUAUUAUAGUUAUUAUUCAGCCCUUUAAAAUGAUGUUUUGGUCAGCAAUGGGCCACGUACAUAGACGGUCUCAUAAGAUAGCAGUAACAGAUCUGAAAACUUCUUACCUUCUAGCAACAUGGUAACUGUUCAAAAAUCAGAGGAUCUUAUUCACUGUUUUCUGGGGAAUCUACUGUAAAGCAACUCUGUCGUCAUAAAAGUAUAGCGCAUGCAAUUAUGGAUGGCAUGCUAUACCUACAAUGGAUGACCCAUACACUGUUAUGCCUGUUUAUCGUUAUUCAGAGUGCAUUCCUUCGUGUAUGGGAAACCUUUACCGAGAUGCAGACUGCCUGUCUAGUAUGUGAGAGGCCCUGGAUGGUGUCCCUGAGACCCUAAAAAAAGCCUCUCUCCAGGCAGGAACUACCUCUCCCAUGGCCAUCCACUUGACUUGCUGCAGCCUUCCAAACACACCAGUGACUGAGCUAGCUUUGCACUGCAACCAUGAACUCAACCCCCAGCUCUCUUAUCACCUGUUGCUCGAAGACCUUGGGACCUUCACGACUGUGACAUCGGCAUGGAAUCCAAGCUCUGGUGGAAUGUGCCACCUCUUGCCUGGACUUCUGGUCUCUCUCCAGCAGGAGCACACAGCUACUCUGUAUAGUUCCAAUUGUGCAUCAGGGGGUCUCCAUUUACUUUCUGUCCCAGGGAGGUCUUUGCAGCAGCCUCUCCCUCUCCCCUGUGUAAAACUUCCCACAAUAAAUCUCCCAUAUGCUACUGCACAGUGAA
This is a long non-coding RNA of Mus musculus (house mouse), 783 nucleotides long. RefSeq annotates it as predicted gene, 33330. The transcript has 2 exons. The record is from RefSeq and is a predicted model, not a curated record. Lineage: Eukaryota; Metazoa; Chordata; Mammalia; Rodentia; Muridae.